RNAcentral lists this non-coding RNA (148 nucleotides) under Gorilla gorilla gorilla (western lowland gorilla). Lineage: Eukaryota; Metazoa; Chordata; Mammalia; Primates; Hominidae. The record is from Rfam by way of RNAcentral.
GCCGGGUGUGGUGGCACAUGCCUGUAGUCCCAGCUACUCGGGAGGCUGAGGCAGGAGAAUCGCUUGAACCCAGGAGACGGAGGUUGCAGUGAGCUGAGAUGGUGCCACUGCAUUCCAGCCUGGGUGACAGAGCGAGACUCUGUCUCAA